UAAAUACUACUGAGAGACCGAUAGUGAACCAGUACCGUGAGGGAAAGGUGAAAAGGACCCCGGACAGGGGAGUGAAACAGUACCUGAAACCGUACGCCUACAAGCGGUUGGAGCCGGAUUUUUCCGGUGACAGCGUGCCUUUUGCAUAAUGAGCCUACGAGUCAGUCAUCACCAGCGAGGUUAAGGCAUAGAGUGCCGGAGCCGAAGCGAAAGCGAGUCUAAACAGGGCGGCUAUAGUUGGUGGUGCUGGACGCGAAACCUUUGUGAUCUACCCAUGUCCAGGUUGAAGUUUCGGUAACACGAAAUGGAGGACCGCACCAGGGAGCGUUGAAAAGCUCUUGGAUGAGGUGUGGGUAGGGGUGAAAGGCCAAUCAAACUGGGAAAUAGCUCGUACUCCCCGAAAUGCAUUUAGGUGCAGCGUUGAAACAGUCUCUGUGAGGUAGAGCUACUGAUUGGAUGCGAGGGCUUCACCGCCUAUCAAAUCCAGACAAACUCCGAAUACGCAGAGAUGUUUUUCAGCAGUGAGGGCGCGGGUGCUAAGGUCCGUGCCCGAGAGGGAAAUAACCCUGAUCAACCGCUAAGGUCCCCAAGUGUAUGUUAAGUUGGAAAAACGAAGUUUGAUUGCACAGACAGCUAGGAUGUUGGCUUGGAAGCAGCCAUUCAUUUAAAGAGUGCGUAACAGCUCACUAGUCGAGCGAUCGGGCGUGGAUAAUAAUCGGGCAUCAAACAUACCACCGAAGCGAUGAUAUAGGCAGUUAACUGUCGAUAGGUAGGGGAGCAUUCCAUUACAGCAGUGAAGGGAUACUGUGAGGUAUCCUGGAGCGGAUGGAAAAGCAAAUGUAGGCAUAAGUAACGACAAAGGAGGUGGGAACCCCCCUCGCCGAAAGACUAAGGUUUCCUGAUCAACGAUAAUCGGAUCAGGGUAAGUCGGUUCCUAAGGUAAAGCCGAGAGGCGUCACUGAUGGGAAAUCGGUUAAUAUUCCGAUACUUUUUUAUACUGCGAAGCGGUGACGAAGUGAUGACAGGUCCGCGUACAGACGGAAUAGUACGUUAAAGGAGUGUAGGUGAUGAAGGGUACAGGCAAAUCCGUACCCUGAGCUGAACUCUGACAGUACCGUGCGCCUUCGGGCAAGCGGACAGUGGCCGUAAGGGCUUCCGAGAAAAGCUGCUAAGCUACAGGUAUAAAGAAACCGUACCGUAAACCGACACAGGUAGUUGGGGAGAGGAUCCUGAGGCGCUCGAGUGAUCCAUGGCUAAGGAACUAGGCAAAAUCGACCCGUAACUUCGGGAUAAGGGUCGCCCGCUGCGAGGCGGGCCGCAGAAAAGAGGCCCAUGCGACUGUUUAUCAAAAACACAUGGCUUUGCGAAAUCGGAAGAUGAAGUAUAAGGCCUGACACCUGCCCGGUGCCGGAAGGUUAAGUGGGGAUGUUAUCGCAAGAGAAGCAUUGAAAUGAAGCCCCGGUAAACGGCGGCCGUAACUAUAACGGUCCUAAGGUAGCGAAAUUCCUUGUCGGGUAAGUUCCGACCUGCACGAAUGGUGUAACGAUGUGGGCACUGUCUCAGCCAUGAGCUCGGUGAAAUUGUAGUAUCGGUGAAGAUGCCGAUUACCCGCAACGGGACGGAAAGACCCCGUGAACCUUUACUGCAGCUUCACAUUGAUUCUGGGUAAGUGAUGUGUAGGAUAGGACGGAGGCAAUGAAGCGGGUUCGCCAGGAUCCGCGGAGCCGUUGUUGAAAUACGUCCCUUUGCUUGCCCGGGACCUAAUCCCGGAAACGGGAGACCGUGUGUGGUGGGUAGUUUGACUGGGGUGGUCGCCUCCAAAAGCGUAACGGAGGCUUCCAAAGGUACCCUCAUGACGGUUGGUAAUCGUCAGGAGAUUGUAAUGGAAUAAGGGUGCUUGACUGUGAGACCAACAAGUCGAUCAGGUGGGAAACCAGGGCAUAGUGAUCCGGUGGUUCCGAAUGGAAGGGCCAUCGCUCAAAGGAUAAAAGGUACUCCGGGGAUAACAGGCUGAU
RNAcentral lists this ribosomal RNA (2015 nucleotides) under fermentation metagenome. Its description in RNAcentral is "bacterial LSU rRNA". It matches the Rfam family "Bacterial large subunit ribosomal RNA", at positions 467 to 2486 of the family's 2925-position model. The record is from RNAcentral.